UACGGGAGGCAGCAGUGGGGAAUAUUGCACAAUGGGCGAAAGCCUGAUGCAGCGACGCCGCGUGAGUGAUGAAGUAUUUCGGUAUGUAAAGCUCUAUCAGCAGGGAAGAUAAUGACGGUACCUGACUAAGAAGCACCGGCUAAAUACGUGCCAGCAGCCGCGGUAAU
This 167-nucleotide ribosomal RNA is filed under the name uncultured rumen bacterium. RNAcentral describes it as "partial 16S ribosomal RNA". It matches the Rfam family "Bacterial small subunit ribosomal RNA", at positions 340 to 524 of the family's 1533-position model. The record is from RNAcentral.